UACGUAGGGUGCAAGCGUUGUCCGGAAUUAUUGGGCGUAAAGAGCGUGUAGGCGGUCCGAUUAGUCCGCUGUGAAAGUCCAGGGCUCAACCCUGGAAUGCCGGUGGAUGCUGUCGGGCUAGAGUCCGGAAGGGGCGAGUGGAAUUCCUGGUGUAGCGGUGAAAUGCGCAGAUAUCAGGAGGAACACCGGUGGCGAAGGCGGUUCUCUGGGCCUGUUCUGACGCUGAGGAGCGAAAGCGUGGGGAGCGAACAGG
This 253-nucleotide ribosomal RNA is filed under the name uncultured bacterium. RNAcentral describes it as "partial 16S ribosomal RNA". It matches the Rfam family "Bacterial small subunit ribosomal RNA", at positions 524 to 776 of the family's 1533-position model. The record is from RNAcentral.